CCUUGUAUAGAAUAGACGGAUAAUAUUUUAGAGUGACGAUCAAACUAUCACAGCUCUCUUUCUUCCCUAUGGCAACAAUCUCUGUGGAAAAAAGAAACAAACAUAGACAAACACCGCUGUCUAGAACGUCAGUGUUUACCGUUUUGAGAUGUUGUGGUAGUCAGCUGGAUACCAAACCUGCCGUUAGUUUUUUGGUGUUUUGGGACAUUAUUUUAACUUUUUAUAUAAACAAUCUGUGAAAUAGUUAUUCAUUAUGAACCAUGGCUUGCGUAGCUAUUGGUUGUGAGAGUAGAAUGGGUGUUAUAAUGGAGAACGAUCAAACAAUGUCUCACCAUGGGUAAAGUUAUAACGACCAGAGCCGACACUAUACACUUCUAAAGAAAGUGAACAAGAGGAAAUAUUUUUUUUUAUCACCAAAAGUCGGAAUUGUUCAGUGCUUCGUAGUCAUUGUAUUCUAACUAUAUUGAAUAAAAAUCUUAUAAAGAAA
Molecule: long non-coding RNA, 487 nt
Organism: Pectinophora gossypiella (pink bollworm)
Lineage: Eukaryota; Metazoa; Arthropoda; Insecta; Lepidoptera; Gelechiidae
Exons: 2
Source: RefSeq, a predicted model, not a curated record